AAGGAAACAAAAAAAUAUGUCCAAUGCGGUGGUCUGCUAUGAAUUUAUAUUAGCAAAAAUUGAUGCAACCCGCCUAAAAAAAAAGUCUUAGGUUUGUUUACCUGUGUGCAUAGGAUGAAUGGCAAAGGCAAUUUAGAAUGAGUUAAUAAACUUCGCUAAACCAGUGUUACUGAAUUUAACAUUAUUUGCAAAUGACCAAGUGAUUUGAAAAGCAAUCCAAGUUUGAAAAUUAAAAAAAAAAAAAGUUUAUGUGUUCCGUUCAGUCCAAAAUAGGUUUUCUUUCCUAAACCUCAAGCCGAGAAAACAGACAAAAGAAAGUGAUUUGACUGAGCUGUGCCAAGUCUUGCCUCCCCCCUUUCCUCUUCUCCGUCUAUUUCUCGUUCCCAGCAUGGCAACCAUCCCAAUUCUUAGUUGUCUUGGCAAUGGUCCAACCCAUGCCAGUCUGAAGCCUCAUUUCCAAAAGAUGCCCUUUGCGGAUCAGUACAUAUAUUAAAGAGGG
Pelobates cultripes (western spadefoot toad) is the source of this 499-nucleotide non-coding RNA. The record is from the annotation of a GenBank genome assembly. NCBI's taxonomy places the organism in Eukaryota, Metazoa, Chordata, Amphibia, Anura, Pelobatidae.